CUAACUUAUGCACAUCACUCAACUAACCCACUUCUCCUUCUUUUUAUAUCCAAUUAUGAAUUAGUAAUGAUACCAGACGCACCACUCGAGGGCCCAUUAUCAGCUGUUUAUGCGUUUUCCUAUAAUAACAAACAACAUUAAGAUCGCAUUCAAAGGCAAACUAAGGAGUGCAGAGGGUAUUUUACUAAGCAGAGACGAAUGGCCGUGAAGCUCAAUUACCUCUUUCUUUUCGUUUACAUUGUUCUUCUUAUUUCAGCGGGGAAUGCUACUAGUGCGCACCUGACGAUGCCCACAAAGGUAGCUACCGCAGGAGGACGGGAUGGGAAAGCGGGUAGGUCGGAAUGGCUAUACGUAGCAGGAGAGUGUGCAAAAUUACCACUUUGCAACAAAUAUUGCGUUUCCAACGGGUUUCGUCUUGGUGGGUUUUGUAAAAAAUUAUCCCCUCGAGCUUCUUCUCUUUCUUGUGUUUGUAAAUACACCUAACUUAACAACAAGUUUCUUUUCUUUCUUUUUGUUAUUGAGAAAAACAAUAAAAGUGUUGUUGACAAGUUAAGCCUUGUUUGUGGUCCCUUCUACCGUUCUACGUAUGUUUUGUGGUUUGGAACUUGCAAGUCUGGUAUUGCUUUGUGAUUUAAUAAUUUCGGCUUUAAAAAAAUAAGAUCUUGAAUUAGCCUAUAA
Brassica oleracea var. oleracea is the source of this 678-nucleotide long non-coding RNA. RefSeq lists it as uncharacterized. The transcript is spliced from 2 exons. The record is from RefSeq and is a predicted model, not a curated record. Lineage: Eukaryota; Viridiplantae; Streptophyta; Magnoliopsida; Brassicales; Brassicaceae.